This 932-nucleotide ribosomal RNA is filed under the name uncultured bacterium. Its description in RNAcentral is "bacterial SSU rRNA". It matches the Rfam family "Bacterial small subunit ribosomal RNA", at positions 33 to 947 of the family's 1533-position model. The record is from RNAcentral.
ACGCUGGCGGCGUGCCUAAUACAUGCAAGUAGAACGCUGAAGGAGGAGCUUGCUCUCUUCUGGAUGAGUUGCGAACGGGUGAGUAACGCGUAGGUAACCUGCCUGGUAGCGGGGGAUAACUAUUGGAAACGAUAGCUAAUACCGCAUAACAGUAGAUGUUGCAUGACAUUUGCUUAAAAGGUGCGAUUGCAUCACUACCAGAUGGACCUGCGUUGUAUUAGCUAGUUGGUGGGGUAACGGCUCACCAAGGCGACGAUACAUAGCCGACCUGAGAGGGUGAUCGGCCACACUGGGACUGAGACACGGCCCAGACUCCUACGGGAGGCAGCAGUAGGGAAUCUUCGGCAAUGGACGGAAGUCUGACCGAGCAACGCCGCGUGAGUGAAGAAGGUUUUCGGAUCGUAAAGCUCUGUUGUAAGAGAAGAACGAGUGUGAGAGUGGAAAGUUCACGCUGUGACGGUAUCUUACCAGAAAGGGACGGCUAACUACGUGCCAGCAGCCGCGGUAAUACGUAGGUCCCGAGCGUUGUCCGGAUUUAUUGGGCGUAAAGCGAGCGCAGGCGGUUAGAUAAGUCUGAAGCUAAAGGCUGUGGCUUAACCAUAGUACGCUUUGGAAACUGUUUAACUUGAGUGCAAGAGGGGAGAGUGGAAUUCCAUGUGUAGCGGUGAAAUGCGUAGAUAUAUGGAGGAACACCGGUGGCGAAAGCGGCUCUCUGGCUUGUAACUGACGCUGAGGCUCGAAAGCGUGGGGAGCAAACAGGAUUAGAUACCCUGGUAGUCCACGCCGUAAACGAUGAGUGCUAGGUGUUAGACCCUUUCCGGGGUUUAGUGCCGCAGCUAACGCAUUAAGCACUCCGCCUGGGGAGUACGACCGCAAGGUUGAAACUCAAAGGAAUUGACGGGGGCCCGCACAAGCGGUGGAGCAUGUGGUUU